This 1725-nucleotide long non-coding RNA is filed under the name Marmota monax (woodchuck). Lineage: Eukaryota; Metazoa; Chordata; Mammalia; Rodentia; Sciuridae. The record is from RNAcentral.
GCGGCCUCCUCCUCCCUCUUCACUGUCUGUGCCCGCGGCCCUCAGGCCUUUGGUCCGGGAAAAGGAGCCUCUAAACACAACCAAGUGAGCAGGUGCCAGGGGAGCUGGGGUGACUCAGCGCUCAGCCCGACUCGGCUGUCUGUCCUCGGCACCCGUCCCUGUCCCCUGUGCCCUGUCAGCCCCUGGUUGGAGGCUCCUCCAGGCCGCUGGGGCAGGUGCUGGGAGAAGUCCUGUCCCCAGUGCCGAGGACCCCGCUCCCAGGAAGGAGCCCGCGCCUGAUGCCAGACGGGCCUCUGCAGCAGCAGGCGGGCACCUGACGGGGACGGUCCCUGUGUGUCCAGCUGUCCCGCUCCCCUCUGCAGCCAGGAGGACGCGGCCUCAGUGGCCUCCCCUCCCCUCCCCGCCACUGCCUGGUCUGGAAACCCCGGCCCAGCAGCACCUGGGUCCAGCAGCCUCAGGGGGCGCGGGAGGGGGUCCAAGGUCAUGGUCACUGCAGCCCUGGCCAGUGAGUGGAGGGGACGACAAGGAGGUUCCCGAGUGUGGAAAGGGGGCCUCCUCCUGGCACCUGUGGCAAGAGGGACACGGCCCCCAGCUCCUGGACAUUCCCUGUGCACGGGGCGCCUCUGGGGUCCCCCAGGAAGCCGAUUUCCAGUUUUGUUUUGUGAAGGGGCACCAGGGAUUGGACCCGGGGGCCCUCGGCCUCAGAGCCCCGUCCCAGCCCUAUUCCGAGUUUUAUUCAGAGACAGGGUCUCACUGAGCUGCUCAGGGCCUGGCUAAGUUGCUGAGGCUGGCCUUGAGCUCUCGAUCCUCCUGCCUCAGCCUCCCGAGCUGCAGUGGUUACAGGGGCGCGCCACGGUGCCCCGCUCUUUGUUUUAAUAUCUACAUAUUUAGCUGCAGAUGGACCAGGGCCUUCAUUUCGUGUAUUUUUUAUGUGGUGCUGGGGAUUGAGCCCAGGGCCUGGCCCAUGCUAGGCACUUGCUCCACCACUAAACCCAAUCCCAAUUUUCACAUCAACUCCGCAGCGGAAAGAUUCCUGCGCCGCUUCACUGAGGGAACUUAGAGGAAGGCACAGCGUUCUGGGGAGCAGCCGGGAGGCGUCCUUCAAACUAAGAGCCCGAGGGCCCAGGCAGGACAGGGGAGGCCCAGGGUGGCCCUGGGGACCCCACCACGGCAGCCCCCUGUCAGGCUGCCAGGACGGUGAGGUGGAGCCUGGCUUGGGGGGCCCCCUCCCACCUGCCGAGAAAACAGAGCCCAAGGAGGGUGAGUCAUGGCCCCCUCCACGAGAUUCUUGGAAAAGUGCCCACGUGUCACCGUUGGGCUGUGACACUGUGGCCAGCUGGCUCUUCCUCUAGAUGUUCUGUGCGCAGCAGGGGAAGGCAGGAUGGCCCAGGGUGGGUGCGCUGCAGGCCUGGCCCCUCCCGGGGCCUCAGUUUCCCCAUCUGUCCAAUGGGAAGGAAAAGAGUCCCACGCUGUCGUCGGCAGGGUGGGGCCGAGGUGGCCGAGUCCUCAGCACACAGUUGACACUCAGUGAAGGGCUCCACCUGGGGAGGGAGGCCCGGCCGGCCCUGCACCCUUGGCGACCAGGAACCCUCAGGUGGGGCUGGCCUCGCCUGGCCAGGGCCACCCCUCCGCUGCCUCUGCCCCAGCAGGAGCCACCGGGCCACCUGGGGAGCUGCGGGCACAGGCUCCAGACACCAGCGGCCCCCACCUCGGCUCCUAUGAGCU